UACAGAGGUCCCGAGCGUUGUUCGGAUUCACUGGGCGUAAAGGGUGCGUAGGUGGCAUGGUAAGUUUGAUGUGAAAGCUCAGGGCUCAACCCUGAAAUGGCAUUGAAUACUACUGUGCUGGAGGUUUGGAGGGGGUACUGGAAUUCUUGGUGUAGCAGUGAAAUGCGUAGAUAUCAAGAGGAACACCAGUGGCGAAGGCGAGUCCCUGGACAACACCUGACACUGAGGCACGAAAGCUAGGGGAGCAAACAGG
Molecule: ribosomal RNA, 253 nt
Filed under: uncultured bacterium
Lineage: Bacteria
Description: partial 16S ribosomal RNA
Rfam family: Bacterial small subunit ribosomal RNA
Source: RNAcentral